RNAcentral lists this non-coding RNA (148 nucleotides) under Pan troglodytes (chimpanzee). The record is from Rfam by way of RNAcentral. Lineage: Eukaryota; Metazoa; Chordata; Mammalia; Primates; Hominidae.
GCCAGGUGUGGUGGUCCACACCUGUAAUCCCAGCUACUUGGGAGGCUGAGGUGGGAGAAUUGCUUGAACCCAGGAGGUGGAGGCUGCAGUGAGCCAAGAUUGCACCACUGCACACCAGCCUGGGUGACAGAGUGAGAAUCCAUCUCAA